This 62-nucleotide transfer RNA is filed under the name Hoplopleura akanezumi. RNAcentral describes it as "tRNA-Asp". Lineage: Eukaryota; Metazoa; Arthropoda; Insecta; Psocodea; Hoplopleuridae. The record is from RNAcentral.
CAAGGUCUAUUUUAAUUAAAAUCCUGACAUGUCGUGUCAGAGAUAGCUCCCGCUGACUUUGG